This 439-nucleotide ribosomal RNA is filed under the name uncultured bacterium. RNAcentral describes it as "partial 16S ribosomal RNA". It matches the Rfam family "Bacterial small subunit ribosomal RNA", at positions 339 to 795 of the family's 1533-position model. The record is from RNAcentral.
CUACGGGCUGCUGCAGUGAGGAAUAUUGCACAAUGGGGGGAACCCUGAUGCAGCAACGCCGCGUGGAGGAUGACGCAUUUCGGUGUGUAAACUCCUUUUAUAUGUCAAGAAAAUGACGGUAGCAUAUGGAUAAGCACCGGCUAACUCCGUGCCAGCAGCCGCGGUAAUACGGAGGGUGCAAGCGUUACCCGGAAUCACUGGGCGUAAAGGACGCGUAGGCGGGUUGGAAAGUCAGGUGUGAAAUCCUACAGCUUAACUGUAGAACUGCACUUGAAACUUCUAAUCUAGAGUAUGGGAGGGGGAGAUGGAAUUAGUGGUGUAGGGGUAAAAUCCGUAGAUAUCACUAGGAAUACCUAAAGCGAAGGCGAUCUCCUGGAACAUUACUGACGCUAAGGCGUGAAAGCGUGGGGAGCAAACAGGAUUAGAUACCCGAGUAGUC